AUUGAACGCUGGCGGCAGGCUUAACACAUGCAAGUCGAGCGGGGGAAGGUAGCUUGCUACUGGACCUAGCGGCGGACGGGUGAGUAAUGCUUAGGAAUCUGCCUAUUAGUGGGGGACAACAUCUCGAAAGGGAUGCUAAUACCGCAUACGUCCUACGGGAGAAAGCAGGGGAUCUUCGGACCUUGCGCUAAUAGAUGAGCCGAAGUCGGAUUAGCUAGUUGGUGGGGUAAAGGCCUACAAAGGCGACGAUCUGUAGCGGGUCUGAGAGGAUGAUCCGCCACACUGGGACUGAGACACGGCCCAGACUCCUACGGGAGGCAGCAGUGGGGAAUAUUGGACAAUGGGGGGAACCCUGAUCCAGCCAUGCCGCGUGUGUGAAGAAGGCCUUAUGGUUGUAAAGCACUUUAAGCGAGGAGGAGGCUACUCUAGUUAAUACCCAGGGAUAGUGGACGUUACUCGCAGAAUAAGCACCGGCUAACUCUGUGCCAGCAGCCGCAGUAA
Molecule: ribosomal RNA, 501 nt
Filed under: uncultured bacterium
Lineage: Bacteria
Description: partial 16S ribosomal RNA
Rfam family: Bacterial small subunit ribosomal RNA
Source: RNAcentral